GGAGGGACAUACCGCGAGGUGAAUUUUGAUCGUGAAGAAAAUAGGUGCCUCUAUAGUUUCAUUUUUUGGUUGGAUGCACGAGGCACUGACUGUGCCUUUUCAGAGCAAGUACAAUAAGGUACAGUCAGCAGGCUGUAAGGAUUAAAAUAUUAUGGCCCUGUUUCUUUAAAAAGUCCUAGGAUUUUUUUUAGUCCCAACUAAAAAGUCUCUAGUCCCUACCUGUUUCUUUCCAAGGACUAAACAUAGACUAGAGGUCAUUAAAUGACAUGUAAAAAGACCAUGUU
RNAcentral lists this long non-coding RNA (284 nucleotides) under Hordeum vulgare. Its description in RNAcentral is "long non-coding RNA (HVUL_LNC008633)". Lineage: Eukaryota; Viridiplantae; Streptophyta; Magnoliopsida; Poales; Poaceae. The record is from RNAcentral.